GGGGGAUCUUCGGACCUCUCGCUAUCAGAUGAGCCCAAGCCGGAUUAGCUAGUUGGUGGGGUAAAGGCCCACCAAGGCGACGAUCCGUAGCUGGUCUGAGAGGAUGAUCAGUCACACUGGAACUGAGACACGGUCCAGACUCCUACGGGAGGCAGCAGUGAGGAAUAUUGCACAAUGGGCGAAAGCCUGAUGCAGCGACGCCGCGUGGAGGAUGAAGGAUUUCGGUCUGUAAACUCCUGUCAGUAGGGAAGAGAAUGGACGGUACCUACUGAGGAAGCCUCGGCUAACUACGUG
Molecule: ribosomal RNA, 294 nt
Filed under: uncultured bacterium
Lineage: Bacteria
Description: partial 16S ribosomal RNA
Rfam family: Bacterial small subunit ribosomal RNA
Source: RNAcentral